CCUACGGGGUGCAGCAGUGGGGAAUAUUGCGCAAUGGGCGCAAGCCUGACGCAGCGACGCCGCGUGAGGGAUGAAGGUCUUCGGAUCGUAAACCUCUGUCAGCAGGGAAGAACGGUCACUGUGCUAAUCAGCAGUGAAUUGACGGUACCUGCAAAGGAAGCACCGGCUAACCCCGUGCGCGCAGCCGCGGUAAUACGGAGGGUGCGAGCGUUAAUCGGAAUUACUGGGCGUAAAGGGCUCGUAGGCGGUAUGUCAAGUCAAGGGUGAAAUCCCCGCGCUCAACGUGGGAACUGCCUUUGAAACUGGCAAGCUAGAGUGUGUGAGAGGAAAGUGGAAUGCCAGGUGUAGGAGUGAAAUCCGUAGAUAUCUGACAGAACAUCAGUGGCGAAGGCAACUAUCCGGCACAUAACUGACGCUGAGGAGCGAAAGCGUGGGUAGCAAACAGGAUUAGAUACCCCUGUAGUC
Molecule: ribosomal RNA, 465 nt
Filed under: uncultured bacterium
Lineage: Bacteria
Description: partial 16S ribosomal RNA
Rfam family: Bacterial small subunit ribosomal RNA
Source: RNAcentral